RNAcentral lists this ribosomal RNA (376 nucleotides) under uncultured bacterium. RNAcentral's name for it is "bacterial SSU rRNA". It matches the Rfam family "Bacterial small subunit ribosomal RNA", at positions 524 to 898 of the family's 1533-position model. The record is from RNAcentral.
UACGUAGGGAGCGAGCGUUGUCCGGAAUUACUGGGCGUAAAGGGCGCGUAGGCGGGAUUUUAAGUUAGGUGUGAAAACUCCGGGCUCAACUCGGAGAUGGCACUUAAAACUGGAAUACUUGAGGACAGGAGAGGAAAGUGGAAUUCCUAGUGUAGCGGUGAAAUGCGUAGAUAUUAGGAGGAACACCAGUGGCGAAGGCGACUUUCUGGACUGAACCUGACGCUGAGGCGCGAAAGCGUGGGGAGUGAACGGGAUUAGAUACCCCGGUAAUCCACGCUGUAAACGAUGGGUACUAGGUGUAGGAGGUAUCGACCCCUUCUGUGCCGGAGUUAACGCAAUAAGUACCCCGCCUGGGGAGUACGGCCGCAAGGUUGAA